Molecule: ribosomal RNA, 478 nt
Filed under: uncultured bacterium
Lineage: Bacteria
Description: partial 16S ribosomal RNA
Rfam family: Bacterial small subunit ribosomal RNA
Source: RNAcentral
GACGAACGCUGGCGGCGUGCUUAACACAUGCAAGUCGAACGGUAAGGCCCUUCGGGGUACACGAGUGGCGAACGGGUGAGUAACACGUGGGUGAUCUGCCCUGCACUUCGGGAUAAGCCUGGGAAACUGGGUCUAAUACCGGAUAGGACUCCGGACUGCAUGGUCUGGGGUGGAAAGCUUUUGCGGUGUGGGAUGGGCCCGCGGCCUAUCAGCUUGUUGGUGGGGUGAUGGCCUACCAAGGCGACGACGGGUAGCCGGCCUGGGAGGGUGACCGGCCGCAAUGGGACGGAGGUACGGCCCAGACUCCUACGGGAGGCAGCAGUGGGGAAUAUUGCACAAUGGGCGCAAGCCUGAUGCAGCGACGCCGCGUGAGGGAUGACGGCCUUCGGGUUGUAAACCUCUUUCAGCAUCGACGAAGCGAAAGUGACGGUAGGUGCAGAAGAAGGACCGGCCAACUACGUGCCAGCCGCCGCGGUAA